GGUUUCAUAGUGUAGCGGUUAGCAUGUCUGCUUUACACGCAGGAGGUACUGGAUUCAUGCCCCAGUAGAGCCA
Molecule: transfer RNA, 73 nt
Filed under: Pteropus alecto (black flying fox)
Lineage: Eukaryota; Metazoa; Chordata; Mammalia; Chiroptera; Pteropodidae
Rfam family: tRNA
About the family: Transfer RNA (tRNA) molecules are approximately 80 nucleotides in length. Their secondary structure includes four short double-helical elements and three loops (D, anti-codon, and T loops).
Source: Rfam by way of RNAcentral